GAUGAACGCUAGCGGCAGGCUUAACACAUGCAAGUCGAGGGGCAGCAUACCCAGCAAUGGGUGAUGGCGACCGGCGGAAGGGUGCGUAACGCGUGAGCAACAUACCCUAUACAGGGGGAUAAGCCAGAGAAACUUGGUCUAAUAUCCCAUAGGAAAUAGAUAAGGCAUCUUGUUUAUUUUAAAGCUUCGGUGGUAUAGGAUUGGCUCGCGUGACAUUAGCUAGAUGGAGGGGUAACGGCCCACCAUGGCAAUGAUGUCUAGGGGUUCUGAGAGGAAGAUCCCCCACACUGGGACUGAGACACGGCCCAGACUCCUACGGGAGGCAGCAGUGAGGAAUAUUGGACAAUGGAUGGAAAUCUGAUCCAGCCAUGCCGCGUGCAGGAAGACGGCCCUAUGGGUUGUAAACUGCUUUUAUACGGGAGCAAUAAGGUCUAUGCAUAGAUUGAUGAGAGUACCGUAUGAAUAAGCAUCGGCUAAC
This 478-nucleotide ribosomal RNA is filed under the name uncultured bacterium. RNAcentral describes it as "bacterial SSU rRNA". It matches the Rfam family "Bacterial small subunit ribosomal RNA", at positions 28 to 501 of the family's 1533-position model. The record is from RNAcentral.